Molecule: non-coding RNA, 45 nt
Filed under: Echinostoma caproni
Lineage: Eukaryota; Metazoa; Platyhelminthes; Trematoda; Plagiorchiida; Echinostomatidae
Source: RNAcentral
GCACUACUGACCGGUUCCAAACAGGACGAAACAGCUGUCCAGUGC